AUAAACAUAUUUAUGCUUUUUACAACGUUAGAAGCUCUUUUUCUGAUAUUUCUUU
RNAcentral lists this transfer RNA (55 nucleotides) under Plateros sp. UPOL A00491. RNAcentral describes it as "partial tRNA-Ser". Lineage: Eukaryota; Metazoa; Arthropoda; Insecta; Coleoptera; Lycidae. The record is from RNAcentral.